This 368-nucleotide long non-coding RNA is filed under the name Homo sapiens (human). Its description in RNAcentral is "non-protein coding lnc-CTSZ-2:6". Lineage: Eukaryota; Metazoa; Chordata; Mammalia; Primates; Hominidae. The record is from RNAcentral.
ACCCACCCCGCCCUCCCAGCGGCGCGCGCCCGCCGAGAUUCUAGGUGGACACACAACUUGGAUAUCAACAGGGAGCAGAAAACAAACCCACUAGCAGGACCAAAAGGCAGACCCAUCAGCAGAACACAGGCGGCAGCUUCCACAAGUAACUCCAAAACUGAAAGUCAAAUCCAGGAGAAGACUGAGGAAGCUCCAUUUUCUUUGAGCACUUAAUUGUAAAUUAAGAUUUGCUGAUGAUGAUGGGCUAAUUUAAGCUACCGUGGAAAGAGGGAAGAAAUGGAAGCUGCUGAUCGUAGGAAGCAGUACCUGUACUGCGCAGGGUUGCAGUGACCUAACACCAAGAAAUAAAAACUCUGGAAAACUAGCCC